Phyllostomus hastatus (greater spear-nosed bat) is the source of this 284-nucleotide long non-coding RNA. RefSeq lists it as uncharacterized. The transcript is spliced from 3 exons. The record is from RefSeq and is a predicted model, not a curated record. Lineage: Eukaryota; Metazoa; Chordata; Mammalia; Chiroptera; Phyllostomidae.
GCAGAGUGGUUCAGUUCUUUUCUCUCCUGUCUGUCAAAAAGAUGCUAUUCCUGUGAUUAAAACCAUUACAGUCCUUCAAAGGUUUUACAUGACUUUCAGGCUGCAGCCUCAGUAGCAGCAGGUAACUGUUGUGGCCUCUCUCUUCUGAUUGGACUGAGACUGAAUAAUGCCCACAAAGCAUACUAGGAAUAUGGUACUAAUUUGAACACAUCAUUCCAUGUUUCCUGGAGUAAUCACGCAGCUUGCUUAGAUUUUGUAAACAUGACUGAACUGUGAUGAAGCGA